GGAGGAUCCAACAGUCUCGCUCAUUUGCAUACUUCUUCCGAGAGGUUGCAGGACUGGAUCCUGAGACUAUCCAGAUUGUGAAUAGUGUGGUUGAACAGUGCAUAAAAAUAUGUGCUCCCUGGAGUGUUCUACAGUAAAGUAAAUAGACCCAUUGACUAUGUCUGCAAUAAAAUAAGAAAAUAUUCGGGCACUGAUAUGACUCGGAAGCCUUUUGCUUGCCAUUUGCUUGAAGACAUUCCCAUUUCAUAAUGAAUAGUGAUUAAAGACACUCAAAAACAGACUCAACGCCAUGCGUUGAGGAAUGGACCACCCCAUACAAUGGAACAGCUUUGUCCAAGAGAGCCAGGUAUAAAUCAGAAGAUGGUGAAAGACAUACGGAGGGGAUUUUAUUCAUGUGAUAUUCCUUCAUAUAACAAUGUGUCCUCCCCCGCAAUGGAAAUAUUCACCGAUGAAUGAUCAGAAAAAUCUUAUCUUCCCAUUUGUGAAGUGUGGCAAGAGCCAUAGAAGCAUAGAUGAGAGAAAAGAGUCAUUACAAUGGUGCAACCAACACUACAAUGUAUUUUAUGGACAGGAAGAGAAUAACACCUUAGUCAACAAAAUCGUAAACAGGAAUAUAAGUAAUCACAAUAAAAUACUAUAUCACCAUAUGGGAGCAAGACACCAGCAAGUGGAUCCUUUCCUCGCAAAAUAUACCACAAGAUCUUUAACGACUGUAAAUGAAUACAUCUUGACUAUAACAACUCAUCCCAAAUGCAGCACUAUUAGCAGCUAGUGUCAGCUUCCACCAAGUGAAGAGGCUGGUUCAGAAGUUUCAGGGAGAGAAGUCAUGUAGGUUUGAAUCUGGAGUUGAGAAUCAGGAGGUCCAGCUUUCUUAUUUUGCCUUUGCCACUGACUGCCUCUUUCUCUAACCAGAUGCACUUGCUGCUUCAGCCUCCUCAGCAGUGAGGCAUUGACGGUGCCCUUGGCCUUCUUGUUCUCUUCCUGUGACAGACUGUAGGACUUUUUUUUUUUAAACUGGGUGCUUUGAGGACAGAGGGGGAUGUCCUUGUGGAUGUUUUAGGACAAACGGUGGCUGAAGAACUCAAGACUCAAAAGCUUGUAGAGGACCCUUCUCAUCCUCUGUUCCUAGGUAAUAAAACAGAAGCGUUG
RNAcentral lists this long non-coding RNA (1149 nucleotides) under Crocodylus porosus (Australian saltwater crocodile). RNAcentral's name for it is "lncRNA (ENSCPRG00005015919.1)". The record is from RNAcentral. Lineage: Eukaryota; Metazoa; Chordata; Crocodylia; Crocodylidae.